RNAcentral lists this ribosomal RNA (433 nucleotides) under uncultured bacterium. Its description in RNAcentral is "partial 16S ribosomal RNA". It matches the Rfam family "Bacterial small subunit ribosomal RNA", at positions 29 to 507 of the family's 1533-position model. The record is from RNAcentral.
AACGAACGCUGGCGGCAGGCUUAACACAUGCAAGUCGAACGGAUCCUUCGGGAUUAGUGGCAGACGGGUGUGUAACGCGUGGGAACGUACCCUUUGCUACGGAAUAACUCAGGGACACUUGAGCUAAUACCGUAUGUGCCCUACGGGGGAAAGAUUUAUCGGCAAAGGAUCGGCCCGCGUUGGAUUAGCUAGUUGGUGGGGUAAUGGCCUACCAAGGCGACGAUCCAUAGCUGGUCUGAGAGGAUGAUCAGCCACACUGGGACUGAGACACGGCCUAGAAUCCUACGGGAGGCAGCAGUGGGGAAUAUUGGAAAAUGGGCGCAAGCCUGAUCCAGCCAUGCCGCGUGAGUGAUGAAGGUAUUAGGAUUGUAAAGCUCUUUCAACGGUGAAGAUAAUGACGGUAGCCGGAGAAGAAGCCCCGGCUAACUUCGUG